Molecule: ribosomal RNA, 61 nt
Filed under: Phytophthora palmivora
Lineage: Eukaryota; Oomycota; Peronosporomycetes; Peronosporales; Peronosporaceae
Description: partial 28S ribosomal RNA
Rfam family: Eukaryotic large subunit ribosomal RNA
Source: RNAcentral
UUGGACCUGAUAUCAGGGAAGAUUACCCGCUGAACUUAAGCAUAUCAAUAAGCGGAGGAAA